RNAcentral lists this long non-coding RNA (841 nucleotides) under Nicotiana tabacum (common tobacco). RNAcentral describes it as "long non-coding RNA (NTAB_LNC015487)". Lineage: Eukaryota; Viridiplantae; Streptophyta; Magnoliopsida; Solanales; Solanaceae. The record is from RNAcentral.
UUUUAAUCAAAUGUUCACAAGGUACGAUUAAACAACUAAAGUUCUUUCAAUCAAAUGUUCACAAGGUACGAUUCUUGGAUUCUAGUGAACCAAACCCUUAUCGUAAAUCAAGAACUUGAUAUUCAAAGAAAUUAAUAUGAAUAAAAUCAAGAAAUGAUCAAAUUAAAUCCCUAUUAAGCCAAAAGAGAAAUUUAUACCCCCCCCCCCCCCCCAAAAAAAACGAGCUAAAGGAACUGACCUAGUUGAGUAUUAAGACCAUAACGCCUAUUGCCACUUUAUUGCUGAAAUUUCUAGCAGGUACAUUAAAAGAGAAGCUCCAAAACAGUAAUCCCAAACCAGUUAUAGACUAGAAACUAGAACCGAAAUCACAACCUCGAAUAGACCUAGCUCGACCGGCUGAUUUUCACAUUGGUUCAGGGUAGUUUUUCAAUGGUUUAAGACUGGUUUUGAAGUUGACAAUAGGGAAGGAAGCCUGUUGGUGGUCGCCGAAUUAUUUUUCCGGUCAGCUCGUAAGUAAAUUUCCGGUCAGACCUGAAUUUCACGUAACAUCAAAUAAACGAUAAAAGUAACUGAAGUGAGAUCGAAACCAGUGGUUAUUAGCUCGUUUUUGUCUCUUCACUUUUGUUUUCUUUUCUUUUCCGCAAGUUACUGCUAAUUUCCUUUAGACCUUUGGUUGCUAGGUUCAGGGAGAUGGGGUGGUUAAUUUUUGAAGGUUAGAGAUGGGUUUUUAUUUGCUAAUGGAGAAAGGGGGAACGCCUAAGGCUUCAUCUUUUUGGUGGGAUUUUCGGUUCGUUCGUUUCUCUAUUCUGAAGAAGACAAUGACAGGGGACGUGGGGUCUUC